RNAcentral lists this ribosomal RNA (427 nucleotides) under uncultured bacterium. Its description in RNAcentral is "bacterial SSU rRNA". It matches the Rfam family "Bacterial small subunit ribosomal RNA", at positions 355 to 774 of the family's 1533-position model. The record is from RNAcentral.
UGGGGAAUUUUGGACAAUGGACGCAAGUCUGAUCCAGCCAUGCCGCGUGCGGGAAGAAGGCCUUCGGGUUGUAAACUGCUUUUGUACGGAGCGAAAAGGUCUGCCCUAAUACGGUGGGCUCAUGACGGUACCGUAAGAAUAAGCACCGGCUAACUACGUGCCAGCAGCCGCGGUAAUACGUAGGGUGCGAGCGUUAAUCGGAAUUACUGGGCGUAAAGCGUGCGCAGGCGGUUUUGUAAGACAGAGGUGAAAUCCCCGGGCUCAACCUGGGAAUUGCCUUUGUGACUGCAAGGCUUGAGUGCGGCAGAGGGGGAUGGAAUUCCGCGUGUAGCAGUGAAAUGCGUAGAUAUGCGGAGGAACACCGAUGGCGAAGGCAAUCCCCUGGACCUGUACUGACGCUCAUGCACGAAAGCGUGGGGAGCAAACA